GCAUCUUUUAGGUUUUCUAUGUUCAUUGGGAUGAAUGAGAAAUGUAAUACAUUUUUGUUUGGAAUCUCUCUCUUGGCAAAAACUGCUUCUUCCCGAUAGUAAAUGCUUAUUGAAAUUUUCCAUCAUGGAAAAAAAUUCCUUCUGUGUUCUCUGUAGAACUUGCUUCCUUUUCUUGGACUGCUUUUAAGAAAUGCUAGUGAAGCAUAUCGGAACUUUUUAGUGAUAAAGAGCUUGAGAGCGAGAGAAAACCUACACGGAACUUGCUUAUCCAAAAAUAGCUUCUCUUGGGCUAAUUUUUGAGAAAAUCUAGUGAAGCGUACCUUUUUUUUAAUUCGUCACGGGACAAAUUCGAGGCUCAAAGUUCGGGCAGGGCUGAUUAUUUUGCCAGCUCUAAACUCAUGAGAUUAUAAAAUUGAAGAGUUUCUUUUUGUUUUUUCGAUGAUCUUACAAUGGAGGAGGAACGCU
Molecule: long non-coding RNA, 465 nt
Filed under: Olea europaea subsp. europaea
Lineage: Eukaryota; Viridiplantae; Streptophyta; Magnoliopsida; Lamiales; Oleaceae
Source: RNAcentral